This 431-nucleotide ribosomal RNA is filed under the name uncultured bacterium. RNAcentral describes it as "bacterial SSU rRNA". It matches the Rfam family "Bacterial small subunit ribosomal RNA", at positions 29 to 507 of the family's 1533-position model. The record is from RNAcentral.
AACGAACGCUGGCGGCAGGCCUAACACAUGCAAGUCGAGCGCCCCGCAAGGGGAGCGGCGGACGGGUGAGUAACGCGUGGGAACGUGCCCUUUGCUUCGGAAUAGCCUCGGGAAACUGGGGGUAAUACCGAAUGUGCCCUACGGGGGAAAGAUUUAUCGGCAAAGGAUCGGCCCGCGUUGGAUUAGGUAGUUGGUGGGGUAAUGGCCUACCAAGCCGACGAUCCAUAGCUGGUUUGAGAGGAUGAUCAGCCACACUGGGACUGAGACACGGCCCAGACUCCUACGGGAGGCAGCAGUGGGGAAUCUUAGACAAUGGGCGCAAGCCUGAUCUAGCCAUGCCGCGUGAGCGAUGAAGGCCUUAGGGUUGUAAAGCUCUUUCGUGGGGGAAGAUAAUGACUGUACCCCAAGAAGAAGCCCCGGCUAACUCCGUG